Molecule: non-coding RNA, 29 nt
Filed under: Homo sapiens (human)
Lineage: Eukaryota; Metazoa; Chordata; Mammalia; Primates; Hominidae
Source: RNAcentral
UCCCUGGGGAAUGGUGUCUAUGAUCUGUU